RNAcentral lists this unclassified non-coding RNA (195 nucleotides) under plant metagenome. Its description in RNAcentral is "partial contains small subunit ribosomal RNA, internal transcribed spacer 1, and 5.8S ribosomal RNA". The record is from RNAcentral.
UCUCCGUUGGUGAACCAGCGGAGGGAUCAUUACCGAGUUUACAACUCUCAAACCCCUGUGAACAUACCAUUUGUUGCCUCGGCGCUGCCUGCUUCGUCAGCCCGCCAGAAGACCCAAACCCUUGAUUGUAUACAGCAUCUUCUGAGUAAAUGAUUAAAUAAAUCAAAACUUUCAACAACGGAUCUCUUGGUUCUG